Long non-coding RNA from Lepisosteus oculatus (spotted gar), 1337 nucleotides. RefSeq lists it as uncharacterized. The record is from RefSeq and is a predicted model, not a curated record. NCBI's taxonomy places the organism in Eukaryota, Metazoa, Chordata, Actinopteri, Semionotiformes, Lepisosteidae.
CCUGCAGAGCACUGCCCUUCCUUGAGCUGCAAACGCCGGUCAUGUUGUUGCCUUUUCUCUUCCCGUCAACAUCAAUUAAAUGAGUCACCAAUGAACUCCAUGAGCCACGCGUGACAGUCUUGCCCUUAAUCCAGCCACAGCUGGCAGUUUAAGCUUCUUCGGAGGUCAGAAACCCGAACUUGCUCCAGAUCGACAGAACGUCUGUCCUCCUCCACCGCUCGGGAAGAAGGUCUCCCAUUCAAGGAGCCGAGAUUACAGAAAUUACCCCUGCUAGAUUCUGCCUCCCUGCAGUGGCUGGCCACCACACCACCACAGAGGGUAAUGCAGUCAUUCAGUCCACAGAUUGCAGAAUGUCAGGAAAUGCAUUUCUACAGGGCUUUAUUUGAAUUAAACAACAUCUCAUAUUGCAGACCAUAUAGGGACCCAUCAGUGCCUGCCAACCAUAUCACUACAGAUCUGUCUGUAAUACCUUGGCGCACACGUCUGUCUGUUUUUGCGGAUUAAGGACGACUAUAUUUAAUCACAUUAAACCACAGAGUCACUGGACCAAAGAACGGCAACUGGCACAGUCUUCAGCCCCCAACAGACAGCUGUAUUCUUACAAACGGGCUCAAUUCUACAACAGAAAUCCUGAUAUGGGCACAUGCGUGCUCCUGUUCCAAACUCACGAUCUUCAAGGUGUUGCAGGUUUGAGCUUGUGUCAUGUCACUAGCUGACCGUGACUGGGCUUCCAUAGGCAGGAUGGCUGAAGAUGGAAACAGUCAGCCAGGACUUCCUAGGCUGUGGACAAACAACAACCUUUGCAGCUUCCUAGGCUCUUGCGAACACACAGUGCCCUGGAUGGGGGACGCAACUCUCCUCCCAUCGGAUGGAGCCUCCAGAACAGGUCUGCGUUCACAUGUGAUGUGUUGUAAGACAAGUGGCUCGAAGGUGGGCAGCUCAGAAACUGGAAAGAGACCAUGACCUUUUCACCUGAACUGCAGAGCACACUGGCCUUUCCCAUGAUGAGGAGCAGGACUGAAAGUACCAGCACUAUUCCCUCAGAGGAACUUCUCGAGCAGGCGCUGCAAUAAAAACCCAGCGCCUGUCAGAAAAGUUAAAAACAAGAGAGAUCCCAGGAAGCCAUGCGACUGCACAGGGCAGCCAUGACAGAGAACUGCCUCGUGUCUUCAGUCUUCACUGCACCUGUACUCUACAACAAAGAACAGUGAGCUUAUCCUUAACCACAGAGAUGUGCGACUAUGGAACAAGCAACUCAGCCACGCAUUUCAAGCCAAAACCCUGGUUUCUUCCAAGAAACUGCUGAAUGAGUUAACCAAUAAACCACCACCAAACAG